RNAcentral lists this ribosomal RNA (545 nucleotides) under uncultured bacterium. RNAcentral describes it as "partial 16S ribosomal RNA". It matches the Rfam family "Bacterial small subunit ribosomal RNA", at positions 355 to 891 of the family's 1533-position model. The record is from RNAcentral.
UGGGGAAUUUUGGACAAUGGGCGAAAGCCUGAUCCAGCAAUGCCGCGUGUGUGAAGAAGGCCUUCGGGUUGUAAAGCACUUUUGUCCGGAAAGAAAUGGCUCUGGUUAAUACCUGGGGUCGAUGACGGUACCGGAAGAAUAAGGACCGGCUAACUACGUGCCAGCAGCCGCGGUAAUACGUAGGGUCCAAGCGUUAAUCGGAAUUACUGGGCGUAAAGCGUGCGCAGGCGGUUGUGCAAGACCGAUGUGAAAUCCCCGAGCUUAACUUGGGAAUUGCAUUGGUGACUGCACGGCUAGAGUGUGUCAGAGGGGGGUAGAAUUCCACGUGUAGCAGUGAAAUGCGUAGAGAUGUGGAGGAAUACCGAUGGCGAAGGCAGCCCCCUGGGAUAACACUGACGCUCAUGCACGAAAGCGUGGGGGGCAAACAGGAUUAGAUACCCUGGGUAGUCCACGCCCUAAACGAUGUCAACUAGUUGUUGGGGGAUUCAUUUCCUUAGUAACGUAGCUAACGCGUGAAGUUGACCGCCUGGGGAGUACGGUCGCAA